UGUUAUUAUUUUUUUUCCUCUUCUUCCUUUUCUUUUUGUUCUUCUUUCUUCUUCCCAUUUCACAUAGAUCAAUUCAAAACACAAAUCACUCUGUAUCAACUCUCUCUUUCGCUUUCUAUCUUCACUACCAAUCAAUCUCUACAAGCUCCCAUUUCUUUAUACGCACGCUUACAGGCGUAAUUCUUCUAUAUUCUAACUUAUAGAGGAGGCUGUGGGGUAAGUAAAGAUGAGCGGUGGUGGGGUUAGGGUUUCAAUCCCGAGCAACGUCAGGAAGACGAUCCAGAACAUAAAGGAGAUCACGGGUAAUCACAGUGAAGAGGAGAUUUAUGCGACUCUUAAGGAUUGCUCUAUGGAUCCCAAUGAAACCGCACAGAAGCUUCUUUUGCAGGAUCCAUUUCAUGAAGUCAAAAGGAAACGGGACAGGAGAAAAGAGAAUGUGAACAACAGAGAGUCUGGAGAUGCUCGUUGGAGACCUGGAACACAGGGGCGGGGGAGUAAGGGUGGUCGGGUAAACUUUUCAUCUCGUCACUCGUCACAUGAUGCUAGUGGUGGCAGGAAUUUGGGCCUUGCAAGGGACAAUGGAACCAACCAAGCUGCAGAGAAGGGAGAUGGCACUUCUUUGCCAGCCCUUCAAGAGGAAAGUAAGGAAACAAGUCUGUCAGCAAGCUCUGCUGCUGUUGCGGCUAAUGGUGCCACUGUUGAACCCUCUGGAAGCAACAGUGAAAUGCAUGCUUAUGAUUCACCUUCAGGAAGUGGCAUAAGUCAAAAUAAAGUGAUUUCAUCACCUAUUGCUGUUAGUAAGUUCGGAAGCACAGUGUCCCCUAUUGAUGCUGACAAAACCCUCACCAUUGCAUUUGGAAUUGGGGAUGCACAUGGGGAGCCCAUUACAACCUCUAGUAACUCCUCGGUAUCUGUAACUCCAGCAUCUUCAUCAACAGUCUGUUUCUCGUCAUCAGAUCCUGUACUUGUUCCAUCUAAUGACUCACGGCUCCCCAGUACUGUGGGUACCAUUAAACGUGAAGUGGGAAGCAAUAGAACUGUUGUUGAAUCAAAUGCAGUUAGUCCUGCUGAGAAAUCAGCUUCUGAGAUUGGUACUUCUUUUCUGCAAGGCAAGAUGCCAAGUAAAUCCCAGGUUGGGAAGGGUCAGCUCAGUGAGUCUUCUCAACCCUCAUCUGCAUCAAUUCAUGAUGGCUCUCCUGGUAGUCGGCCUUCCUCUAACUAUAGUAGCAGGUCACAGCAAGUAAUUGGCCCUCAAAAAGUUGGUUCUACUAAGGAGUGGAAACCAAAGCCAGCAAACCCUAGUGUGCUUCAGGGUUCUGGAACUGGACCAACCGGUUCAUCAGAUGUGCCUAAUAUUCCAGUUGAACCCAGUAUCCAAUCACAGCCUCUAUCAAAUGUCCUUGAUUCAGAAGAAACUACCUCUAAACUGCAGAAGAAGCUAGAGGAGUUGCAUCUUCCACAGCGUCAACAUGUUAUUAUUCCAAACCAUAUUCAUGUCCCUGAAUCUGAAAGAACAAAAUUGAGUUUUGGAAGUUUUGAUGCGAGUUUUGGAGUAAUGGCAAGCUUUGUUAAUGGUCCAGAGAGUGAUAAAAGUUCUACACCUGUGUCCGAAACUUCUCAGGGUAUGGAAGAAGCUGUGGAGGAACAGGCUGUGAGCAAUCAAGAUGCAUUACCGACUGCUGAGGAGGGAGCUUAUCCUGAUCAUCCAGAGUCACCUUCACAUGCACCUGAAAAUUUAACUGGUGAUGGUGACGUCUCAUCCAGUGCAAUGCCCGAGUAUAAUGAGUCCAAGCCAGAAACUGCAUUGCUUUCUCGGGGCCAGCAAUACUCUGUGGUACACACUUCUCCAAGCUACAGUUUUGGUUUUGUUCCUCCAAUGCUGAGUAGUCAGAUUGCACCAUUUGAAAACUCUGAAUCUCAAGAACGUGAUGUUUCUCGUCUUCCUAGCUUUGUAGUUCAACAACCAUUUGAUCCUGCAAGUUAUUAUGCCCAAUUUUACCGUUCGAGCGCUGACAGUGAUGGUCGUGUUUCUCCCUUUCCAUCAGCUGCAGUUGCUGCUAAAUACAAUGGGAAUGUUGCAUUGUUGCCUCCACAUACUUCUCAGUCUCCCCAAGAGGGUGGAAAUUCAUUAGUUCUGUCAACAGCAGGUCCAACUCCACAGGUGACUCAAGCUGCUGGGCUUAUGCAAAGUUCCAUAGCUGUGACUCAACAACCACUCCCUGUCUUCCGUCCACCAACAGGGUUGCACAUACCCCAUUAUCCCCCAAACUACAUCCCUUACGGUCAUUACUUUUCCCCAUUCUAUGUUCCACCUCCAGGCAUUCACCAAUUUUUAAGUAAUGGUGCAUUUCCCCAGCAACCUCAAGCUGGAAGCAUAUAUCCUGCGCCACCAGCUGCAGCUGCCAUGGGGGUCAAAUAUUCACUUCCACAAUAUAAACCAGGAACUAAUACAGGAAAUUCAACUCAUAUUGGAAUGGCAAGUGGCUAUGGGCCAUAUGGCUCCUCUCAAGCUGGUUAUAAUCCCAGUUCUGCAGCAACAGGCGGAAACUCUACUACAAAUGAAGAUCUUGGAUCAUCCCAGUUCAAAGAAAGUAAUGUUUACAUCACUGGGCAGCAGGUUGUAUUCUAAUGGUUCUGUGUGUAUUUCAUCAUAGUUAAUUGGUCUUGUAGUGGAAAAUGCCUGUUCAGAUGGUUCAAUUUUAAAUUGGAAUGUCAAGGCAAUAAUAAGGAUUAUUUCUUGUAUUUUUUUGUUCGUAAAAUUUUAUUAGUUUUAUUUUCCCACUAUUUAUAUUGUUUCUAUGGGUUUCCUUUCAUAAAAGAAUGUUACAGUGUCCUUGAUGUAUUUAGUUUCCUUCUGUUCAAAAACAUUUUGUGUUUCACACUCUCUGGGUUUAUUUUGGUGAAUUACAAAAUAGAUGGAUAACUUUUAAGGUGGUAAUAUAUGAUCAGGGCGGUGGAAGUAGAGGGCGUUGUGGUGUCAUGUUAAUUGCGAUAUUUUGUGUCAUUGGUGGAUAUUGAUUGCCUUGAAAUCGGUGGUGUUGUGAAAUAAUGAGAUGACUGGUUUUGUAAUUGGAAUUGUGUUUACAAUUUUGGUUUCGUAUUGUUGCCAGUGGCAUUGGUGAUGGGGCAGUGGUGGCAGAUGUGAUUGUGAUGAUCUAGCUGCUGUGGCUGCUGUGGUAGUUACUCAUUUUUGGUUGCUGUAGUAUAGUGAUUUUGAUAAUUAAUUUCCUGUCAUGUGGCAUGAUGGUAUAUCACAUUGGUGCUAUGAAUAAGCUUUUCUUGAUCAAUGAAAUGCUUCUGUAUGAUUGCUGUAGAGAUUUAGAUAUGUUUUUUAAUCUGUUCUUUGUAACUACUUCAAUACCCACUUAUUGCUUGUUCAGCUCAUCAGUUAGUCAGAUGGCUGAAUUAAUAUAUUUGUCAGUGCAUGGUUAGUGCUGUAUGAAUACUUGAGGUGCUAGAAUGUGUGCUGGGUUGUUGAACCAGGAUUCUGUAAUGAUUAGCUCAUACAAUCUCCUCUGUUCUUUCACUGCUACAAAUACAUUUGUUGUUGAUGAUGGUUUAUUUUGCAGAGUGAGGGUUCAGCCGUGUGGAUUGCUGCUCCUGGACGAGAUAUAUCUAGCUUGCCAGCAAGUUCCUUCUACAGCCUUCCUCCUCAAGGUCAGCAUGUGACUUUUACCCCAGCACAGGCUGGUCAUGGAACCUUUACUAGUAUCUAUCAGCCCGCACAAGCAGUGACGGCAGCAGCUGUUCACCCACUUCUUCAACAGUCUCAAGCCAUGGCUGGAGCUGUUGAUAUGGUGGGACCUGCAGCCAGUGUAUACCAGCAGCCUCAGCAUCAACAGAUCAACUGGCCUAGUAACUACUGAUGGAUGGAUAUGAUAUAUCCUUUUGUACACCAAGAAAACAAGUCCAAUCUUAGGAUAAAUUUUGGGAACUCCAACAAGUUUGGAUAGAGGGGAACAGAAAGAAGAUACAACAUUGGCUGGAGUGAGAGUGCAAAUCUAGAAGAGGAUUCUGGAGAUCUUCUACUUGUUUUGGGUUGAAGGCCUAAGAAGUGCAUUCAUCUGUAUCAGAUAUUGACCAUUUUAAGUUAGUCGAGGUAGGUAUGUGCAGUUCUCUCUUUCUUGUUGCUGCCAUGUGGGGUGUUACAUUUUCUGCAUUUCGUAGUCUCAAGCAUUCUAUUUUUCUUUAUAAGAAAGUCUUUGAACUUAGGUUUUCUAUUGUUGAGUGGUGAGAACCUUUUUUCCAAUUCUUUUUGACUUUUGAGGUUUUCUAGGGUUCUGGAAGGUAAGAUAUAGGUCGGUGGCGAAUUUUUGCAAUUCCUUUUUAUUGUCUUUCCGCUACCUGUAAAGUGAAUUUUGAUAGCAAGAAAAGGGAUUUUCCUAACUGUUGUAAUUGGUAUAAGCAAAAGUGAACCUUUCAAUUGUUUAUCCUGACUGAUAUUAUCAUAAAUGCUUGGUAAAGAAUGUGAUUCUGGGGAAAGUUCACUGGGAAUAUUGUAUUUUAUUUUUUGAACAUUUUUAAAGUUUGGAAGUUUCUGUAAAUUCAUGCUUGAUCCCGAUCGAAGGUUGGCGUUAAUCAUUUCUAGUUGAUGCUUGGAGGAAAUGGCAUGUGCCCAUUUCUUAGGUGUUCAUUUUUGCAAUUAAGUUGCAACUCACUGAAAGGUGGUGAUGCACACUAAUAACCUGCGCGCUAGGAGCAUUGGCCCUCACCGGAGGGAGUGACUAUAAAAUCCUCCUCCUGUUCUUUGGGUUAAGGGUGGUUUCUGGCUGGAAGCCAUGCCUUUCGACUUUUGAGAUGGUACGUGUUCCAUGUCUUUGGCGAACACCCAACGAAUGCUAUAGUCCAAAGCCUGUUGCUUGACUCGGACUCUGCUUGGUAAUUCUGCAUUGAUGUUAUCUUUCAUUAGAAAUUCUCAACUCCAGUCGCAGUUGGUCUAUUUCAUGCAAAACAUAAGGGAAACAAUUUUUCUUUAAUCUUGAACUCAUCGGUGAUCCAAAGCAUAUUAGCAUUAAAAGGAGGUUUAAGUAGCAGUACUACUCAAAUUUCAUAAACUUGGUGACCAGCCCAAGCUGGCGAACCUUGCAACCCUAAAGAGCCUGAGGAUUACCCUCCUGUCAUGAGGAUCGUCCACGCAGGUGGAAGGUAGAAUGUACCAUAUGGCAAUACCUGCAGUGAAGAUCUUGGAGAAGUACCCAUCUUAUGUGGUAGUCAAGCCGGAGGUAUUCAGGAGACCAUGGGAUUGAGUGGUUCGACGAUCAGAGAAAAUCCUCACCCCAGGACAGAAAUUCUUUCUCGUUCUGCGUCGUAUCGGAUGAGUCACGGUUUGACAUGGUUUCUCGCCAAGAAGAUGAUGAUUUUACAGUUACAAGCAGUGCCUUUAGAAAGAGAAGUGGAAUUGUAACUUUCGUUGGAAAGGAUGACAAGCACAAGGCGUCAAGUUCAUCCAACUCGGAGAAGAAGGGUAAGAGCAAAAAAGGUACCAAAAAGAGCUCAAACUCUGAGUGGGGUGGAGAAAAGAGGACGCCCUGGAAUGCCAUAGCCUUUGUUUUUUUUUAAAAGGAAUGCCGUAGCUUGGCAGCCAUCUUUUCAAGCAAUCACUGAAAGCCAUGGAGACCGAUGAAUUAAUGAUGCUCCCUAGAUUCAC
This 5647-nucleotide unclassified non-coding RNA is filed under the name Hevea brasiliensis (rubber tree). The record is from RNAcentral. Lineage: Eukaryota; Viridiplantae; Streptophyta; Magnoliopsida; Malpighiales; Euphorbiaceae.